GUGCCAGCAGCCGCGGUAAUACGUAGGUGGCAAGCGUUAUCCGGAAUUAUUGGGCGUAAAGGGUGCGUAGGCGGUUUAGCAAGUCUAUGGUGAAAGUUCGGGGCUUAACUCCGGAUUGCCAUAGAAACUACUAGACUCGAGUGCAGGAGAGGGCAAUGGAAUUCCAUGUGUAGCGGUAAAAUGCGUAGAUAUAUGGAGGAACACCAGUGGCGAAGGCGGUUGCCUGGCCUGUAACUGACGCUGAAGCACGAAAGCGUGGGGAGCAAAUAGGAUUAGAAACCCGAGUAGUCC
This 291-nucleotide ribosomal RNA is filed under the name uncultured bacterium. RNAcentral describes it as "partial 16S ribosomal RNA". It matches the Rfam family "Bacterial small subunit ribosomal RNA", at positions 505 to 796 of the family's 1533-position model. The record is from RNAcentral.